GUCGCUUCUUGGACCUGUUUUUUGCUUCUUUUUGUUGAUUGACCGUGAAGUCUAAAGUUCCAAAUGACACGUCUACUGUCUACUUCUCUAGAUUCAGUCUACUUCUCUAGAUCCAGGAUCUGCAUAUAUAACGUGAUUCUCAUCUACUGCAUUUGCUUGGCUGCUCAACUAGAGAACCGCAAGUUCAUCUAUGUUUAGAAAGUACUUAAAUUUCAGUCGAGUAAUCAUCAAAUCAUUUGCUUAUCCUGUUGGUACUACCUGUUCUAACGUACUAAAUUUUUAGCUUGCUACUACCUCUUCUUCUAUUACUUGUACACUUGGUAAUACAUGUUCUACUUCUGUGCUAUUUUUUUAGUGAAGACAGAUAAUAUGCGUGCUUGUAAGUCUCCAACUGUGCUAUCUUGUCUUGGAUCGAUCUCCCUGUUCUGGUGGAUGCCAAGCCUUCAGCUGCAGGGUAAACUAUAUCGUUACAUGUACUGAAGCCCUGCCAUGACUCCGACCAUGUCUCCGGCAAGGUGGAGUCUACAAUACCAGAGCACCACCCUACGUGACCUCUGCAGUGACGAAAGGCGCAAACCAAAGGCCUCCUGGAGGGUGGAGGGCUCGCUGGAGAUUUGUUGGUACGCUAGAUACA
RNAcentral lists this long non-coding RNA (634 nucleotides) under Hordeum vulgare. RNAcentral describes it as "long non-coding RNA (HVUL_LNC006038)". Lineage: Eukaryota; Viridiplantae; Streptophyta; Magnoliopsida; Poales; Poaceae. The record is from RNAcentral.